This is a long non-coding RNA of Syngnathus acus (greater pipefish), 179 nucleotides long. RefSeq lists it as uncharacterized. The record is from RefSeq and is a predicted model, not a curated record. The transcript is spliced from 3 exons. Lineage: Eukaryota; Metazoa; Chordata; Actinopteri; Syngnathiformes; Syngnathidae.
UGCCUGCCUGCCUGCCUGCCAUUGCCUCUCUCCCUCGGCCUGCAUGCCUCCAUUUUGGACAUUCUACCUCCACCUUCAAAAGGGUAUGAGCAACAGCUGUACACAGCGAUAAGCGUGUGACAAGAACUAUACAACAUCUAACCUUUGAAAUUUAAACUGAACUGAAACUGACACUCACA